GAUGAACGCUGGCGGCGUGCCUAACACAUGCAAGUCGAGCGAACGGACGAGAAGCUUGCUUCUCUGAUGUUAGCGGCGGACGGGUGAGUAACACGUGGAUAACCUACCUAUACGACUGGGAUAACUUCGGGAAACCGGAGCUACUACCGGAUAAUAUUUUGAACCGCAUGGUUCAAAAGUGAAAGACGGUCUUGCUGUCACUUAUAGAUGGAUCCGCGCUUGAUUAGCUAGUUGGUAAGGUAACGGCUUACCAAGGCAACGAUGCAUAGCCGACCUGAGAGGGUGGUCGGCCACACUGGGACUGAGGAACGGUCCAGACUCCUAAGGGGGGCAGCAGUAGGGAAGCUUACGCAAUGGGGGGAAGCAUGACGGAGCAACGCCGCGGGGGGGGUGAAGGGCUUCGGAGCGUAAAGAUCUGUUAUUGGGGGAGAACAAAUGUGUAAGUAACUGUGCACAGCUUGACGGUACCUAAUCAAAAAGCCACGGCUAACUACGUG
Molecule: ribosomal RNA, 497 nt
Filed under: uncultured bacterium
Lineage: Bacteria
Description: partial 16S ribosomal RNA
Rfam family: Bacterial small subunit ribosomal RNA
Source: RNAcentral